Molecule: long non-coding RNA, 319 nt
Organism: Etheostoma spectabile (orangethroat darter)
Lineage: Eukaryota; Metazoa; Chordata; Actinopteri; Perciformes; Percidae
Exons: 3
Source: RefSeq, a predicted model, not a curated record
CCAUUGAGAUCCGCUCCGUGGAGACGGGACACCUCGACGGAGUUUUCAUGCACAAGCGAGCUCAGCGACUGAAGUUCCUGUCGGAGAGGAACGACAAGGUGUUCUUCGCCUCGGUGCGUUCUGGAGGCAGCAGUCAAGUCUUCUUCAGACCCUCAACAGAAGCUCCAUGAUGAACUGGUAACCUGUUCCUUCGACCCAUGACCCUCCUCUUCUUCUUCUUCACUCUGAUCAUCGCCCGACAUCAGGAGCGAGGGAUGCCAGGAGGACAGUGUGUGUAUGUGUGCGUUACCAUAUGUUGUGUGUGUGUAUACCAUAGUCU